AGAGUUUGAUCCUGGCUCAGGACGAACGCUGGCGGCGUGCUUAACACAUGCAAGUCGAACGGCAGCACGGGAGCAAUCCUGGUGGCGAGUGGCGAACGGGUGAGUAAUAUAUCGGAACGUGCCCAGUAGUGGGGGAUAGCCCGGCGAAAGCCGGAUUAAUACCGCAUACGACCUACGGGUGAAAGCGGGGGAUCGCAAGACCUCGCGCUAUUGGAGCGGCCGAUAUCAGAUUAGCUAGUUGGUGGGGUAAAGGCCUACCAAGGCAUCGAUCAGUAGCUGGUCUGAGAGGACGACCAGCCACACUGGAACUGAGACACGGUCCAGACUCCUACGGGAGGCAGCAGUGGGGAAUUUUGGACAAUGGGCGCAAGCCUGAUCCAGCAAUGCCGCGUGAGUGAAGAAGGCCUUCGGGUUGUAAAGCUCUUUUGUCAGGGAAGAAACGGUGCGGGCUAAUAUCCUGCACUAAUGACGGUACCUGAAGAAUAAGCACCGGCUAACUACGUGCCAGCAGCCGCGGUAAUACGUAGGGUGCAAGCGUUAAUCGGAAUUACUGGGCGUAAAGCGUGCGCAGGCGGUUUUGUAAGUCUGACGUGAAAUCCCCGGGCUCAACCUGGGAAUUGCGUUGGAGACUGCAAGGCUAGAAUCUGGCAGAGGGGGGUAGAAUUCCACGUAGCAGUGAAAUGCGUAGAGAUGUGGAGGAACACCGAUGGCGAAGGCAGCCCCCUGGGUCAAGAUUGACGCUCAUGCACGAAAGCGUGGGGAGCAAACAGGAUUAGAUACCCUAGUAGUCC
RNAcentral lists this ribosomal RNA (791 nucleotides) under uncultured bacterium. RNAcentral describes it as "bacterial SSU rRNA". It matches the Rfam family "Bacterial small subunit ribosomal RNA", at positions 8 to 796 of the family's 1533-position model. The record is from RNAcentral.